Molecule: ribosomal RNA, 2132 nt
Filed under: human gut metagenome
Description: bacterial LSU rRNA
Rfam family: Bacterial large subunit ribosomal RNA
Source: RNAcentral
AGAAAUCAACCGAGAUUCCGCAAGUAGUGGCGAGCGAACGCGGAAGAGGCCAAACCGGCUGUAGAAAUAUGGCCGGGGUAAGGACAGCAAAAUGUAUGUUGGACCCUAGCAGAAGGGCAUGGGACGGCCCACCACAGAGAGUGAUAGUCUCGUAUGCGAAAGGGAAAAACAGCAGGCUGUAUCCAGAGUACCACUGGACACGUGAAACCCGGUGGGAAUAUGGGGGGACCACCCUCCAAGCCUAAAUACUCCCUGGUGACCGAUAGUGAAGAGUACUGUGAAGGAAAGGUGAAAAGAACCCCGGGAGGGGAGUGAAAAGAACCUGAAACCUUGUGCUUACAAGCACACAGAGCACGUCAAGGUGUGAUGUGGUACCUUUUGUAGAAUGGUCCGGCGAGUGAAUGUAACGAGCAAGGUUAAGCACUUUAGGUGUGGAGCCGAAGCGAAAGCAAGUCUGAAAAGGGCGAGAAGUUCGUUGUAUUCGACCCGAAACCGGGUGACCUAGCCAUGUCCAGGCUGAAGUGAAGGUAAAACUUCAUGGAGGGCCGAACCCACUCCCGUUGAAAUGGUAGGGGAUGAGGUGUGGCUAGCGGAGAAAUUCCAAUCGAACCCGGAGAUAGCUGGUUCUCUCCGAAAUAGCUUUAGGGCUAGCCUCGGAAUAGAUUACUGGAGGUAAAGCACUGAAUGGGCUAGGGGCCGAGAGGUUACUGAACCCUAUCAAACUAAGAAUGCCGGAUAAUGAUAGUCGGGAGUCAGACAGUGUGAGAUAAGUUUCAUUGUCGAAAGGGAAACAGCCCAGACCCACAGCUAAGGUCCCAAAGUAUCGUUAAGUGGAAAAGGAUGUGGAACUGCCCAGACAACCAGGAUGUUGGCUCAGAAGCAGCCAUACAUUCAAAGAGUGCGUAAUAGCUCACUGGUCGAGUGGUUCUGCGCCGAAAAUUUAACGGGGCUAAACGAUACACCGAAGCUUGGGAUGCAGCAUUGGCUGCAUGGUAGGAGAGCGUUCUGUACGGGGUGAAGUCAUAGCGGAAGCGGUGGUGGACUGUACAGAAGAGAGAAUGCCGGAAUGAGUAGCGAGAUUUAUGUGAGAAUCAUAAAGGCCGAAAGACUAAGGAUUUAGAAGGAAGGUUCGUCCGCUUCUAGUUAGCCGGGAGCUAAGGCGAGGCCGAAAGGCGUAGUCGAUGCACAUACGGUGGAGAUUCCGUAGCCGCCUCUUAAUUUAAGCAAAGGGACACUUUCAAAGGGAAUGACCCGGGCGUUGGUAGCCCCGGGCGAAAGGGACCGAAAUUAGAGUAGGGAAGCAUUUCUGGAGGAAGGCGAGAAAAGCUUUGCGGAUAGAGAGAGGCGCCCGUACCGCAAACCGACACAGGUAGUCAGGAAGAGGAUUCUAAGGCCAACGGGAGAAGGGUAGUUAAGGAACUCGGCAAAUUGACCCCGUAACUUCGGAAUAAGGGGUGCUCCUGAAAAGGAGCCGCAGUGAAUAGGCCCAGGCGACUGUUUAUCAAAAACACAGCUCUCUGCUAAAUCGAAAGAUGAAGUAUAGGGGGUGACACCUGCCCGGUGCUGGAAGGUUAAGAGGAAGGGUGCAAGCUCUGAAUUGAAGCCCCAGUAAACGGCGGCCGUAACUAUAACGGUCCUAAGGUAGCGAAAUUCCUUGUCGGGUAAGUUCCGACCCGCACGAAUGGUGUAACGAUCUGGGCACUGUCUCAACUACCCACCCGGCGAAAUUGUAGUACCGGUGAAGAUGCCGGUUACCCGCGGCAAGACGGAAAGACCCCAUGGAGCUUUACUGUAGCCUGAUAUUGGGUUUCGGUAUUCUAUGUACAGGAUAGGCGGGAGACUGGGAACCGAUGGCGUCAGCUGUCGGGGAGUCACCCUUGGGAUACCGCUCUUAGAGUACUGGAAUUCUAACCUGCGGCCGUGAAUCCGGCCGGGGGACAUUGUCAGGUGGGCAGUUUGACUGGGGCGGUCGCCUCCAAAAAGGUAACGGAGGCGCUCAAAGGUUCGCUCAGCACGGACGGAAACCGUGCCUCUGAGUGCAAACGCAAAAGCGAGCCUAACUGCGAGGCUGACGGGCCGAGCAGUAACGAAAGUUGGAGUUAGUGAUCCGGCGGUAUGUGAGUGGAAAUGCC